CGCGGGGUGGAGCUAGUCCUGGUAGCUCGUUGGGCUCAUAACCCAAAGGUCGUUGGUUCAAAUCCAGCCCCCGCAACCA
RNAcentral lists this transfer RNA (79 nucleotides) under Exiguobacterium sp. S17. RNAcentral describes it as "tRNA-Met". It matches the Rfam family "tRNA". Rfam says of the family: Transfer RNA (tRNA) molecules are approximately 80 nucleotides in length. Their secondary structure includes four short double-helical elements and three loops (D, anti-codon, and T loops). Lineage: Bacteria; Bacillati; Bacillota; Bacilli; Caryophanales. The record is from RNAcentral.